GGAAGAGUCUCGCUCCCGGUGGGGCGGCUGAACUUCAAAUUCAGAUGGGGCCGCCAGCGGUCCCGGGAGGGUUCGACUCCCUUACUCUUCCG
RNAcentral lists this transfer RNA (92 nucleotides) under Pseudogulbenkiania sp. NH8B. Its description in RNAcentral is "tRNA-SeC (TCA) (tRNA-SeC-TCA-1-1)". It matches the Rfam family "Selenocysteine transfer RNA". Lineage: Bacteria; Pseudomonadati; Pseudomonadota; Betaproteobacteria; Neisseriales; Chromobacteriaceae. The record is from RNAcentral.